This 513-nucleotide ribosomal RNA is filed under the name Alternaria solani. RNAcentral describes it as "eukaryotic LSU rRNA". The stretch from base 150 to 303 matches the Rfam family "5.8S ribosomal RNA". Lineage: Eukaryota; Fungi; Ascomycota; Dothideomycetes; Pleosporales; Pleosporaceae. The record is from RNAcentral.
GGGCUGGACCUCUCGGGGUUACAGCCUUGCUGAAUUAUUCACCCUUGUCUUUUGCGUACUUCUUGUUUCCUUGGUGGGUUCGCCCACCACUAGGACAAACAUAAACCUUUUGUAAUUGCAAUCAGCGUCAGUAACAAAUUAAUAAUUACAACUUUCAACAACGGAUCUCUUGGUUCUGGCAUCGAUGAAGAACGCAGCGAAAUGCGAUAAGUAGUGUGAAUUGCAGAAUUCAGUGAAUCAUCGAAUCUUUGAACGCACAUUGCGCCCUUUGGUAUUCCAAAGGGCAUGCCUGUUCGAGCGUCAUUUGUACCCUCAAGCUUUGCUUGGUGUUGGGCGUCUUGUCUCUAGCUUUGCUGGAGACUCGCCUUAAAGUAAUUGGCAGCCGGCCUACUGGUUUCGGAGCGCAGCACAAGUCGCACUCUCUAUCAGCAAAGGUCUAGCAUCCAUUAAGCCUUUUUUUCAACUUUUGACCUCGGAUCAGGUAGGGAUACCCGCUGAACUUAAGCAUAUAAA